GUGAGGAAUUUUCCGCAAUGGGCGAAAGCCUGACGGAGCAAUGCCGCGUGAAGGAUGAAGGCCUAUGGGUUGUAAACUUCUUUUCUCAGAAAAGAAUUAUGACGGUAUCUGAGGAAUAAGCAUCGGCUAACUCUGUGCCAGCAGCCGCGGUAAGACAGAGGAUGCAAGCGUUAUCCGGAAUGAUUGGACGUAAAGCGUCUGUAGGUUGUUUAAAAAGUAUUCUGUCAAAGAUUAGGGCUUAACCCUAGAUAGGCAGAAUAAACUUUUAAGCUAGAGUUUGGUAGAGGCAGAGGGAAUUCCCGGUGGAGCGGUGAAAUGCGUAGAUAUCGGGAGGAACACCAAAGGCGAAGGCACUCUGCUGGGCCAAUACUAACACUGAGAGACGAAAGCGAGGGGAGCAAAUGGGAUUAGAAACCCUAGUAGUCC
This 426-nucleotide ribosomal RNA is filed under the name uncultured bacterium. RNAcentral describes it as "bacterial SSU rRNA". It matches the Rfam family "Bacterial small subunit ribosomal RNA", at positions 354 to 796 of the family's 1533-position model. The record is from RNAcentral.